GCCGCUUUAGCUCAUCUGGUAGAGCAACUGACUUGUAAUCAGUAGGUCCCGGGUUCGAAGCCUGGUGGCGGCACCA
Molecule: transfer RNA, 76 nt
Filed under: Lancefieldella parvula
Lineage: Bacteria; Bacillati; Actinomycetota; Coriobacteriia; Coriobacteriales; Atopobiaceae
Description: tRNA-Thr
Rfam family: tRNA
About the family: Transfer RNA (tRNA) molecules are approximately 80 nucleotides in length. Their secondary structure includes four short double-helical elements and three loops (D, anti-codon, and T loops).
Source: RNAcentral